Molecule: transfer-messenger RNA, 354 nt
Filed under: Phycisphaerales
Lineage: Bacteria; Pseudomonadati; Planctomycetota; Phycisphaerae
Also listed under: 1 other name
Description: UBA6054 sp003696675 Standard tmRNA
Rfam family: transfer-messenger RNA
About the family: Bacterial tmRNA, also known as 10Sa RNA or SsrA, is named for its dual tRNA and mRNA-like properties. Its role is to liberate the mRNA from a stalled ribosome. To accomplish this part of the tmRNA is used as a reading frame that ends in a translation stop signal.
Source: RNAcentral
GGGGCCGAUAUGGCAUUCGACCGGACAGGGAAGGCUCGGCGUGGCGCGUCGAGGGGCGUGCUGGCCUCGUAAAAAGCACGCAAACCCAUAACUGCCGAACCGCAGUUCGCAAUGGCGGCCUAACACAGGCCUCCGAUCCCCUGCGUGACGCCCGAUAGGGCAGGGGAUCACGACCAUCGGGCUGGUUGCCGCGUGGCGCCUCUUGGCGCGGCAGCGAGGAGGUUACAAGCGGCUGGGCCAAAGCACAGGGCGUUGAUCCCCGGUGCGAGGCCGAGAUCAAACGAUCAACUACACGCGUAGAAGCGUCUUGCUGACUGUCUCGGGACGGGGGUUCGAUUCCCCCCGGCUCCAUUC